Pecten maximus is the source of this 1368-nucleotide long non-coding RNA. RefSeq lists it as uncharacterized. Lineage: Eukaryota; Metazoa; Mollusca; Bivalvia; Pectinida; Pectinidae. The transcript is spliced from 2 exons. The record is from RefSeq and is a predicted model, not a curated record.
UUUGUAUGCUGUAAGUUCUCUAUCUUCCUAAUACAUAUGGUAUCAACAGUUCUUUCUUGUUAAAAACUAGAAUCAUUGGCAUUUAAUUAUUCUCAGUAAUGAAAUGAUUGACUCGUGAGAAAAUAAGUUCAAAAAGAAGAAGUAAAGACCAAUGAAAUUCAGAUAUUACAAAACUGAACUAGCAUUCUAGGACAGAUAUAUUUAUUUUCAUUCUACCAUGUCACAUUCACAAGACGAAUAAGCUGGCAUGACCUGGGUACAUACAAGCUGGGGACAUAUUAAAGAGUAUUGUACGUGUAUGUGAUAUUGGGGCAUGUGCAUGGUUUUGUGUCUGAAAAUCUGUGGCUGUUGACUGUUGAGAAACUUUGUUUUGUGACUUGACAUGGUGGAAUUAAAUAUAAUGUUAAGAUUGAGAGAGAAAACAUGGUAGGUAAUCUUUGUAUGAUUUGGUCACAUCUCCAGUACUAACUGUUGGAAUGAUGGAAGAUUAGAGAACCUACAGAUACCAGAUAUAACUGUAUGUGUUAUUUGUACUCAGUUUAUAAGAUUUAGUUAAGACAUUCAGUUCAUUUUCAUGCUUUGUUUUUUCUAAUUUGGCCUCAUUAGCAUGCUGCUGAAACUGAUUUAUUUUAUAUUUAUAUGCAUCUCAUUAAUUAGCCCUGUGAUACAUGUACCCCUACCUAGUCAGUAACAGACUGGUUUAGUUAAAUAUGCCGUUGACAGGGCUAUUUUGGAGAAAUGACUACAACAUUGUGGCAUGAUAGAAUAUUACACUGUCACAUUAAAAAAUGAAAAGUUAAUUAUCUGAAAUAUGUUUUAUAAUAUUUAGGUUACAAUUUGGAGAUUUUUGUUUUUAAUGAGUGAAAUAUUCAAUUAAUGUAAAUCACAUUCCAUGUGGGAUUUAUUUUGGGUUAAUAUUCAAGGACAAUCAAUCCUUCACGAUUAUUUGUACAAAAAUAACACCUUUGGAUGGUGGUCAAGCUAUUGGUUUCUUAUAUAGUUAAUUAUAGAGUUAAUGAUUCUAACAGCUCAUUACUUACUUAAAGUCAUUUCUAGAUCAGUGUUUGCAAAAUCAAAUAUUCCUGAAGAUGUCAGAUCACGAAACGUAAUUAACAGGUUUACAGUUUUACAAUCUUGAAUUACUCACUGAAUUUUUGUAUUCAUUACCUCGUUAAUAAAAGAAUUUUUUUAUUUCACAACGCUAAAUAUACAUAUAUUGUUGCACCUUUUUCUGCAUUAUUUAUGGUUCUAUCAUUAAGAAAUUUAGCAAAAUUGCAAUGUUACAUUUUGAAUAUAUAGUUACAACUUUUCUUUGCCCAUAUGCCUCCUGUUUAAAAAAAAAAAAAAAAAAUUAUAACUAACAAAACA